This 522-nucleotide long non-coding RNA is filed under the name Mytilus galloprovincialis (Mediterranean mussel). Lineage: Eukaryota; Metazoa; Mollusca; Bivalvia; Mytilida; Mytilidae. The record is from RNAcentral.
CUAGGCAGUUGUAUUACAAGUUACAACAGAAGGUGGUGCUGAAAGAGAUAUAAAGAUCAGAAUAGGAAAAGCUAGAUCCUGCAUUCAUUAGACUAGGCAACAUCUGGAAAACAACAGCCUUUUCAAAGAAGACCAAGCUCAGGCUCUAUAACAGCUGUGUACUUUCUGUACUCAUAUAUGGCUCAGAGUGCCGGAUAAUGACUGAGAAAGAUAUCAACAGGCUACUAUAAAAGAUGUCUGAGGAAAAUAAUGAAAAUAUUCUGGCUAAACAAAAUCUCCAACAAAGACCUACAUGAGAUGACCAGCACCAAGGACAUGGAGACUUUGCUGAUAUAAAAAAGCUGGCGAUGGCUUGGUCAUGUUAUACGCAAAACAUCUGAUGACAUGACCAAGGUAGCCCUUAGAUGGACACCAGAGGAAAAAAGAAAAAGAGGCCGACCUCAAACAACAUAAAGACGCACCAUAGAAAAUGAGCUAAAGGAUAGAGGAUAUACCUGGGGCAAAGUGGAAAGAAAAGCAAAC